Long non-coding RNA from Bubalus bubalis (water buffalo), 740 nucleotides. RefSeq lists it as uncharacterized. The transcript is spliced from 3 exons. Lineage: Eukaryota; Metazoa; Chordata; Mammalia; Artiodactyla; Bovidae. The record is from RefSeq and is a predicted model, not a curated record.
GGCCUGGAGAAUUCCAUGGGCUCUCUAGUCCAUGGGAUCACAAAGAGUAGGACACGACUGACCUACUUUCACUUUCACUUUGACCAGUGGGAGCCUAUCGAGCUGGCUUUGGAAUCUUUGGACAGGUCUCCAACUCCUUUUGGGCACUUCAGUGCAGGAUUUUCCAGACUUUGUAUAUUCCCUGAUUGUACUUGGAAUCAAAAAUCUCUCCAAGGACCUUCAUUUUCUUUUGGAGAAAGAUAGUGUUUUGAAACCAAAUCCUUUCACUGGUUUUGCUCAUUGCUACUGGGUUGUCAUUUCUUCUAGCUUAUUUCAGUGGACAGCUUGGAACGUAGAUCGUUAAAAACAUGAGGCUUCAAGCUAGAGGUGGAAGAGGCCUGAGUGGUUUUAUGCCAUACUGUGAACUGCACGAGCAGCCUCACCCAGGAUACCGUUUCCAAGUCACGCAACGUCGGUGUUCAAGACUAUCCUGGUGACACUUCCAGUUCAACAAGCAGACCCCUGAGAGGACAGUGCGUGGUCAUCCAUAAAUGAUUAUCCGUGGAAAUAUGCUCUUGACUCCCAUGGAUGAGAAGAUCAUGACUGGCUCUGAAGGAUGCAGUCUCCGAUUUUCUUGGCUUCACUUGAACACUCUAAAAUCAUGUUUCCCAGUAGGGAAGCUGCCUCAGCCUGUGUAGGGGUCAAUAAAAACCUUUCUGUGAUGAGAGCAUACUCCAUAUGUUUAAGUGUUAUACCCAACA